Molecule: ribosomal RNA, 338 nt
Filed under: uncultured eukaryote
Lineage: Eukaryota
Description: partial 18S ribosomal RNA
Rfam family: Eukaryotic small subunit ribosomal RNA
Source: RNAcentral
CCCUUAGAUGUCCUGGGCUGCACGCGCGCUACACUGAUGUGUCCAGUAAGCACCUAACCUCUUCCGAAAGGAACGGGUAACCUUUGCAAAGCACAUCGUGAUGGGGAUAGAUUAUUGCAAUUAUUAGUCUUGAACGAGGAAUUCCUAGUAAGCACAAGUCAUCAGCUUGUGUUGAUUACGUCCCUGCCCUUUGUACACACCGCCCGUCGCUCCUACCGAUUGAAUUGUCCGAUGAAAUUUUUGGAUUGCGGGUUUUGUUUUACUGUUAGUUCGCUAGUAGUAACGCCUGUGAGAAGUUAAUUUAAUCUUACAAUUUAGAGGAAGGAGAAGUCGUAACA